Molecule: small RNA, 165 nt
Filed under: Streptomyces venezuelae
Lineage: Bacteria; Bacillati; Actinomycetota; Actinomycetes; Kitasatosporales; Streptomycetaceae
Also listed under: 1 other name
Description: c-di-AMP sequence
Rfam family: c-di-AMP riboswitch aptamer (ydaO/yuaA leader)
About the family: This family represents a conserved RNA structure found upstream of the ydaO and yuaA genes in Bacillus subtilis and related genes in other bacteria.
Source: RNAcentral
GGACAGACAUCGCCGAGUCCCCGUCAGGCGCGAGCCUGGGGAGCCGGGGACCCACACGUAGUCCCUGGGGUGAAUCGGGCGCCUUCGUUUCGACGGAGGGGUCCGUAGGAGACCUUCCUGCUCCGAACCCGUCAGCUAACCCGGUAGGCGAGAGGGAAGGAAAGG